Long non-coding RNA from Brienomyrus brachyistius, 4796 nucleotides. RefSeq lists it as uncharacterized. Lineage: Eukaryota; Metazoa; Chordata; Actinopteri; Osteoglossiformes; Mormyridae. The record is from RefSeq and is a predicted model, not a curated record. The transcript is spliced from 2 exons.
CUGCCUUUGUUCAUGAGCUUACACAACGGACGAACAGUUACUUCAGGAUUUUUCAGGAUCAGAGCUUCAUGACAGAGCCAGCUGCUCUGGACCACUUUGCUUGUGCAAACAAACAUCAGUUCCUGGGGCCUCGGGUAUGAAAGGCGAGGGAUAAAUGGUGGCCAGGCAGCCAUGUCAGCAGAGAGGAGGGUCGGUCUGCACUGCAGACAGAAUCUGCUCACCGCUUCCCCUCAGCUGGCCCAGUCUGGUUUAGACCCCAUCACAGCUUCCCCUCAACUGAAGUCGGUUUGGUUUAAACCCCAUCUCUGAUUUGUCAGUCCGGUUUAGACCCCAUCACAGUUUCCACUCAAGUGGAGUCAUUCUGGUUUGAAUCCUAUCACAUAUUUCCUUCAUGUGGGUCAGUUUGGUUUAGACCCCAUACAGCUUCCCCUCAGCUGGGUAAAUUUGGUUUAAACCCCAUCACAGCUGAGUCAGUCUGGUUUCAUCUCCAUCACAGUUUCUCAUCUGGGUCAGCCUGGUCUGAGUGAGUCUGGUUUGAAACCCACUACAGGUUCUCCUCAUCUGGGACAGUCUGGCUGGAGUGUGUCUGCCUUAAAGCAUCUACCAGCUUCUCCUCAUCUGGGUCAGUCUGGUCUUAAUUAGCCUGGAUAAAGUAUUCUCACAGCCCACCUCGGCCGAGUCAGUCUGGUCUUAAUUAGUCUGCUGUAAACCUCAUGACAGCUUCUCUUGCGCCUGAAUCGGUCUGGUUCUCCGAGGUUACUGAUCCGCCGUGGUUUUGGCCGCUGCGUUUCUCGUCUCAGAGGACCGUCUCUCUCUCUUUACUGCAGUACAGUGAUCAUAGGUCCUCCGUCGACGGCCGUUCAGAUGGAUACUGAUUACUGAUAAACACAAACAAAAAUGUAUUAAGAAUAUACGGGCUUAUCCCAUUGGGUAAGCUUCUAUACAGCUUACACUCGAUAUGGGGUGUUGAUACCAACUAAUUCUUGGUGUUCAGACCAGCUCCCCAUCUGCUCUGAAUUCUACUCUUGAAGCAUUUUUUGUUUUCACCUGUUUAUCAUAAAAUAUUUAAAAAAAUUUAUGAUGCAGAGAAACCAGUACAGUCAACAGCACAAUCUUGUCUACGCACGUCAGAAUUGUUGGCACGGAGCUGCACAUCAUUGGAUCGCAGUUCAAAGUCAAGCCCUGAAAAACAUCUUUGAACGCAGAAUUAAUUUAUUUUUUUUAGAUAGAUUUUUGUGAAAAAACCAAGGCUUCCACGUGUGCUAGUGCAUUGUAAGCCGUUUGAGAUAAACAGUUCACCACAAGCGAUGCUUUUCCAGCCAAAGUGAACUAAUCGCCUUUAUGAGAAGAGCGUUUUUUUUUUGAGAGCAAGGUAAGAACAAACCUUUGUUUGUGGCUGUUCAGAUCUUCUGAUGAUCUCGCUUUAAAAUUUUGAUGUGGUUCCAGAAUGACAGCCGCCAGAUCCCACCCCCUCCACCCCCACGGGGCGCGUCACCCGCUGACCGAGUGUUGCUGUACAUUUUUGUCUGGGGCGGGAGGAGGGGGGAGGGGGGAGUGGAUGCUGAACGAGGUAGAAAGGCCUUCAUAAAGGCCGACCUGGCAGCAAGUACAUGUGACUCGUGGAGCCAAGGAACACAGCUCUGGGCGGCAGCUGCUGACACAGCAUUGGUGAGGUAGGUUGGGCACAAAAUGGAGGUCAGGAGGGGUUUCUUCUGAGGGGGGGGGGCUUGAGCUUGCAGCCCAAUCCUGAUCACGUGGGCGAGCGAGGGAACAGACGUUUCUGUAUGGAAAAGCACAUAAAACUCCGGCAUCACUGGGACUUUGGAAUGAGAGGUUCUUACUGUGGCUGCUGGCAGGGGGGGGGGGUCUCUUGAGUCUCCAGGUUGGGGAGACAGAUCUGGGCAUUGGGGGCACUGCAAACCACGCUAACCCUCCCCAACUGUUCAGGAUAGGAAGCCUUCUUGGGUUGCAGACAUUAUUCCUGGUUGCUGUGUUCCCUUUAGUGUCUGAAUCUCCCUGAUUUGUAUCUCUGCAGACAGAACAAUGCAGUCCUCAUAGAUCAGACGGCCUCAGUAGAUUUAGGAAUCUUCCGUCUCUUGCCGUGUUCCCGAUGCACAUUCUCCUGGUCGUGCUCUCUGUGCAUGUAUUCCGUCCUUAAGCUCACGAAUGCGUCAACGUUGGAGGCUGGGAUGCUUCCUGUCACACGAGAGGCCCCGAGUCGAGCUGUGAGCUCCCUGGCCAGGUGGUGAAGGAGGAGUGAGGGCAUUCAUCCCUCGGGGCCGAGGAAGACUGGAACCGGAAUAAUCAGUGACGUUCGGUGGGCAAUUAGCAGCUCAUCAGAUGUUAAACAGGACAUGCUGUGGAUUUCUGAGGGCUGUUUGUUUUUUGUUUUUUUCCCAAGUGGCAGGAAAUGUUUUCGCUUGUUCUUAUGUCUCCUAUGUUUUUGUCUUUCUCUUGGUGGAGUUUUCAGUCCUCGUUUGGUUUCUCAUCCCCAAAACUUUGUGAUUUUUCACUCGAGCAGCGAAUGUAUUUGUCUCCACGGCUUCCAAAGGAGAGAGAGCCACCACAAUAUGGUGACUUAAUGAGCGGAAAACAUCACGGACUGCAAUCAUCCUUCAUGUUUUUUUUUAUCACCGUGCCGAGCUGGGGAAAGAGGAAAGCUUGACUCAGGUGGUCAGGACCAGUGGGGGAUGACAGGUUGCGUUGAAGACCAUCCUCUGGUUCAAGACCUUCCUUUAUGAAACCCAAUGUUGUUGCACUUUCCCUUGGUUUGUCAGGCUCGUCUCUCAUGGUCCCUCCAGAAAUAUGUUUCCUUUGGACACGUGCCCGAUGGGUCACUGUCCCGUAAAUGGGUGCAGACGUGUCCCUGAAAUGCCGCAAAGCGUCUCCAGGACCUGCCAGCGGCCCCCUCCCCUCCCUCUUCCGCUUGCUGGGCAGCUACAGCCCCGUGUAAUUACUAUAAAUGGAAGGUUUCUUUGCUCAGAAAUGCCUUUUUGGUUUCUUUUGUAUUUUCAUGACUUUGUCAGUGGUAUUUAUGUUCCCCGCUUUUGUGGAAUCGCUGUCGUGAAGGCGGACGCUCUCAUGCUUGUCUGGAGGCAGCCUGGGUCCCAUGUGCCCCAGUCCUCUGGGUGUGCUGGGCCCCUCCUCGGAUGGAACCAUUAUUACAGUAAAAAAAAGACCCUUCGCCCUGGAGGCGUAGGAGAGGCACUGACUCCGGCCCUUGUUUUUGCAGGUCUAUUGCAUGCCAGCAUGUUUUUAAAGUCUGCAAGAUGCAGGCAUCGUUGCCUCUUGCUGAGAGAAGACGUGCUUCUCCAAGCGACCAUCACGGCCUCCUUGAUCACCGCACCGACUGACCGUUUGCUUGGGCUGCGGCACAUUGUCGACAUUUAUCAUCUCGGUGCUGCCUUAUGCAUUUAAACUGCUCAACUAUGCAGUACGUCCCAUUGAAAGCGCUUGCAAGCUGCCAGGUUCCAACUGCAAUGGGUGAGAUGAUGUUCCACUGGCUGCUAACUGUCUCGGCGGAAGGACACGUCUUUGAGACGUGGCGCUAAAAUAGUUCCAGGCUAAUUUAGCACAUGUAUUGCGGUUGGUUUUGGAUCUGUGUCCACACUUGGAAAGUCGUUGGUUCACGGUCCUUAAGCCUAACUGCUCCAGGUGCUGUGGGAUCUGGCUGACCCAGUUGUCAGCAUUUCCACUCUUGUGUGAUCCUUUGGCCACAAGCGCACCCUAAAUAGAGGUAACGUCAUGCUAGCAUUAUGCUAAAGUCUCGCUAGCUUCCUGCUAACGUUGCGCCGCCUUGCGCUGACUUUAUUGAAAGGGAGCUGGAUGCAGGACUGGAGCGUCUGAGCUCACUGCUAGGCCAACGAGCCUGGAACUGAGCAGACGCUGGAAAGUCGGACAAAGCCUGCCCCUUCCAGCAUGGCCCCACGCAACAGCCCAUUCCGCUCGCUUCCAGCUCUCGCCAGGUGUUUGCGGCUGGAGAUCAACCCUUGCAGCUGGGGAGCAUUAAAGCGAUCCCAGAAUAACGGGAAUAGCAGACACGGGCUGCCCACCAGUGUGUCAGCGCCGUGAGGUGCCACUAAUUACAUUAAUUCUGAAUGUCUGCAGAGCAAGGGAUAAUUUACUGAUGGAGCUAAGUGUGUGCGGUGGGUGGGGGGGGGCUAUUUUUAACAUCAUGUGUGUCCAUAAAUCAUUGCACAUUGUUGGUAAAUUUGAACACAGAUAUCAGACUGUUUAUUAAAUUGGAAAUAUACGAGAGAAGCAUCAAAGGCUGGGGGAGGAAAAGUCUGGAAAGUUCUUUAGCUGCGUUGUCUGACUUUCCUGGACCAGCAGGACUUGGGACGGGCCUGAUCUGCAUGAGCAAGGGCAGCGGUCUCCACGGCAACUUAUGAGAGGUCGCUGUCCGUGAGUUGUCAUGUGUUGCAGGAAAAACAUGAUUCAUUUGGGGAGGGGGGGGGGUAUUUCAUUUCAGUGAGAUCUCAUGAAAUAAAUAUUUUGCCCUGGACUCAAGACUCGGAUUAGGUGUAACCACCGUUGGUCUUACGCACUAAGGAUUCACAGGAUUAAAUGAAAGCUCACUGACUGCGUUUCUGCGUGGACGACAUUUGGCCUGUGAUCUGCUCCCCGCGUCUCGUCUCUGAUUGGAGGACGGAGAUUCUGCUGUUGCAUUAAACUGCUGGUUUGCUGCUGAUUGUUGGAUGUGGGAUGAAAAAAAAGAAAAGAAAAGAAGAGAAACAUGGAAGGGAAAAAUGCGUAAUAGUGAGAGAGAGAGAGACAGAGAGAAAGAUAGAGAGAGA